This 682-nucleotide ribosomal RNA is filed under the name uncultured bacterium. RNAcentral's name for it is "bacterial SSU rRNA". It matches the Rfam family "Bacterial small subunit ribosomal RNA", at positions 99 to 795 of the family's 1533-position model. The record is from RNAcentral.
CGGACGGGUGAGUAACGCGUGACCAAUCUGCCCAGCGGCAGGGGGUAGCCCGCGGAAACGCGGGGUAAUUCCGUAUGUGCGUCGUCCCCGAGUGGGGGGAUGACGGAAAGGCGCAAGCCGUCGCUGGAGGAGGCUGCGGCCGAUUAGCUAGCUGGUGGGGUAACGGCCUACCAGGGCGAUGAUCGGUAGCUGGUCUGAGAGGAUGAUCAGCCACACGGGGACUGAGACACGGCCCCGACUCCUACGGGAGGCAGCAGCAAGGAAUUUUCCGCAAUGGGCGCAAGCCUGACGGAGCAACGCCGCGUGCGGGAUGACGCGUUUCGGCGUGUAAACCGCUGUUCGGGGGGACGAAGCACUGACGGUACCCCCGGAGGAAGGCCCGGCUAACUACGUGCCAGCAGCCGCGGUAAUACGUAGGGGUCGAGCGUUGUCCGGAGUUACUGGGCGUAAAGCGUGCGCAGGCGGCUCAUCGCGCUCGGCGUGAAAGCCCCCGGCUCAACCGGGGAGGGUCGUCGAGGACGGAUGAGCUUGAGGGUAUCAGGGGUUGGUGGAAUUCCCGGUGUAGUGGUGAAAUGCGUACAGAUCGGGAGGAACACCCGUGGCGAAGGCGGCCAACUGGGAUACACCUGACGCUGAGGCACGAAGGCGUGGGGAGCGAAUGGGAUUAGAUACCCCAGUAGUC